This 1018-nucleotide long non-coding RNA is filed under the name Brachypodium distachyon (stiff brome). Its description in RNAcentral is "long non-coding RNA (BDIS_LNC004798)". Lineage: Eukaryota; Viridiplantae; Streptophyta; Magnoliopsida; Poales; Poaceae. The record is from RNAcentral.
GGGCGGAUCCCGGUGAUGGCGCGCGGCGGUCACGCGCGGGGACGGCGGCGUGAUUUCGGGCGCCUGCCCGAGGUAGGGGACGACCCCGACAGGUGGGCCCCACCUGUCGGUGGCUCGGGCGCGCGUGAGCGGGCGGCUGGGCCAGCUGGGCGGUGUCGCGCGCGGGGGAGUUGGGCCGGUUCGGCCCAAUUCGGCCGGGCCGGUCCGUUUACCCCUUUUUUUUUUCUUUUAGACCUUUUCUUUUUCUAUUUUUCCCAUUUCUUUGAUAUCUUUUGAGUUUGAACUCCAAAUUGGUCCAAAUGAAUUCCAGAAAAUUUGUAAAAUCAUGUUCCACCAUGAUACAACUUUUGGAAGUAGUUUCUCUUCAAAAUAACAUAUAUAAAAAUACAUUUGCCCUAUAAAUGCCCUUAGGGCUAUAUAUCCAUUUAAAUAAAAUACUUUUUCAACUCCAAAUAAUUAUCCAAAAAUUAUGGGAUAGCUCAUAUGUGCAAUAAACCCCUUAUAUAUAUAAACUUUAAUGGUUUGAAAAUCCAAGGCUCAAUUAGGUGUAAACAAAAUCUUUUAAAGCCUUUUGUGAUUCAAAUUUGAAUUCAAACAUACAAUUGUGGCAUGAUGCUCAUGGAUGCAAUGCACAUGUAAAGGUUUGAAAUUUUGGGAUGUUACAGCGCCUUUUAUAGGCGCGGGGGAAGGGCUUGCCACCGCGUGCAACGUAUCAGCGCAGCACCCGUGGCAUCCCUUCCUUUGAAAUGUGGUACAGUCUUUGCCACCCUGCAUGCCAAGUUGCUUUGGCACACGUGGCGGCGCCCUCCCGAGUCAGGAGCCUCGGAGUGCGGUGAGUCCCUUGUGUUGCGGUCGUCCCGAACCACAAGGCACUGCUCCAUGCCGUGACCCGUGGGCAGCCCAUAGGUAUUACAGUGCGUAAGAUUCUACCUUUUCCUGCAGAUUAGAUUCUUACCAGGCCCGAGGUGCUGCAAUUUUUUUUUCGAAAUCUACGAAAAUACAGAGAGCAACAUGAGUA